GCCUGAGUGGCUCAGUCGGUUGAGCAUCUGACUUUGGCUCAGGUCAUGAUCUGGCAUUCAUGGGUUUGAGCCCUACAUAAGGCU
RNAcentral lists this transfer RNA (84 nucleotides) under Felis catus (domestic cat). It matches the Rfam family "tRNA". Rfam says of the family: Transfer RNA (tRNA) molecules are approximately 80 nucleotides in length. Lineage: Eukaryota; Metazoa; Chordata; Mammalia; Carnivora; Felidae. RNAcentral also lists the same sequence under 1 other name. The record is from Rfam by way of RNAcentral.